GUGCUUGCUUUGGCAGCAUAUAUACUAAAAUUGGAACAUACAGAGAUUAGCAUGGCCCCUGCAAAAGAAUCACAUGCAAAUUCAUGAAGCGUUCCAUCUUUUU
Molecule: small nuclear RNA, 103 nt
Filed under: Jaculus jaculus (lesser Egyptian jerboa)
Lineage: Eukaryota; Metazoa; Chordata; Mammalia; Rodentia; Dipodidae
Source: RNAcentral